CUCGGAGUUUGAUCCCUGGCUCAGGAUGAACGCUAGCGGCAGGCUUAACACAUGCAAGUCGAGGGGUAUAGUUCUUCGGAGCUAGAGACCGGCGCACGGGUGCGUAACGCGUAUGCAAUCUACCUUUUACAGAGGGAUAGCCCGAGAGAAACUUUGGAUUAAUACCUCAUAGUAUGUGAGAAUCGCAUGGUUUUCACAUUAAAGUUCCAACGGUAAAGAUGAGCAUGCGUCCCAUUAGC
RNAcentral lists this ribosomal RNA (239 nucleotides) under uncultured Flavobacteriaceae bacterium. RNAcentral's name for it is "partial 16S ribosomal RNA". It matches the Rfam family "Bacterial small subunit ribosomal RNA", at positions 1 to 245 of the family's 1533-position model. The record is from RNAcentral. Lineage: Bacteria; Pseudomonadati; Bacteroidota; Flavobacteriia; Flavobacteriales; Flavobacteriaceae.